GCGUCACAAGAGGAGGGGGAAGGGCUUUGAGGUUUCAAAAUCCCAAGCCAGGCCCCAUGCUGCUCUCUUCCUGUUGCCUGAGGAUUUGGUGCGGAACUCUCUGCUACCUCUACAGCACCGUGUCUCCUGCAUGCUGAUGCGUCAUGCCAUGAAGAUAAUGGACUAAACCUCUGAAACUAUGUGGAUCAGGAUGUGAGCUCUUAGCUGCUCCUUUGCUCUGCCGCCAUGAACUCUAACCAUCUGAAACUCUAAGCCAAAUUAAACACUUUCUUUUAUCACAGCAAUAGAAAGGAAUGUGGCAUUUGGAUUGUGUCUGAGGACAGUGAUGGCCCCAGUGGUGCAUGAAUGAAGCCGGCCAGGCCUCAUAACUUCAAAUUUCUCCAGUCAUUGCCACAAGGUCAAGGUGGCACACUGCUGAUGACACCAAGGCCUUGAAAAGACUUGUGCCACCAGGCAACUUCCCUGUCCUGGAAUUGCAGAUACCUAGGAUGAGUCAAACUGAAGUGGGCAUCAGGAAAGUGACAUUCAUAAGUGACUCACCAGGGAAGAAGAGACGCACAUUGGCUGCUGCUGCCUUUGAUAACGACUAUUUCUCAUCUACAUCCUGCUGUGUGUUCUGCUGUGUGUUCUUCAUGGGGUCCACUUGUUGGAGUAAGAGGUCUAAAAUUCGCCAGCCCUUCUCCCUGGGUAGAGCACUCUCUUGCCUCCUUACCUUCUUGAUGGGGCAGACUUCUGCUUGCUCAGUAAGAAUCUCUGGCCAGGGCAAACUUUUUUGGUGGUUUGGUGACUUCCACUCCUAAGAUUAAUUUUGAGCUGUGGAACUGAAGAAUAUUCCUUCUCCUAUAGAGCUGUUCCAGGUAACACUGUCACCGCUAUUCACUUUGAAUUUGUGUAUGUUGUCCUGGUGUCAUUCUAUGUGGGUGGAGAAGUCCCUACCCAGCCACAAUCACAUCCUCAAAUUGGUCUAACUUCAGCUAAGAGUGGAGUGCCCUGGACCAGGCAUCAGCUGGCUCUUCUAAAGAUUCUUGUGAGACCUAGGCCACCUGCUCAGUUUCCCAGUGCCUACAUCUCUACAUCUAUAACAUAAAGACAAUUCAAACUUUGAUUUCAGCUUCUGGGAAUAAAAUUGAACUGUGUAUGAACAUUGAUGUUCCCAUGGCAACAGUCAUGUCAGGUAUCUAGUAUGCCACUGGAACAAUACAUUAUUUGUAAUAAGUACUUGUAGAGUCUCCUGACACAGAAGAAAAGACUCUUACAGGAAACCUGGAGGGUUUACUUCUACAUUAAUUUGCAUUCAUUAUCUCAGGAGACUUCAUCAUGCUUCUCCAAACUAUCUGGUUCUCAAUUUGCAGAAUAAAAUGAAUUAGUACACCCUGGAGCCAUUGAAUCCACAAGCAAUAUGAAUGCAGCUAUGGUUAGAAUAAAGAGAAAGAGACUGGCCUCCUGCUAACAUCACAGGGGAGUCCCUGGGAAUGGUUGAUGAGGGUGGAAAGGGUUCCAACUCAGCCAACUGAAGGGAACAGAAAUGUCAGGUCUACAAAACAACUUAUUGAAAUGUCAUUAUCAUUAUUAUUUAUGGAAAAUGUAAGUCUACAAAAGGACAAAAUAGUAAUCAGGUCACUUACACAUAGACAAUAUUAACAUUUUGAUAUCAAGUCUUCCCAUCUUUUUUUCUAGAUACUCUAUUCUAAAACUACAUUCUCAUUUUUGAUCAUUUUUACAAGUCAUUUUAUAUUAUAGAAAGUAACUUGCAGAGUGUGUCAUCAGAAGGACAUAGCAAUUCGUGUAACUAAUUCACAAUUACUCAAAAUUUAGAUUGUGCCUUGAGUUUUCUGUUAAUUAAAAUCAAUUCAUUUAUUGCCUUAAGGUCUGAAAUUAAUUUCACUGGAACUUUGUCAUCCAUCCAUAUCAUCACUGGCAAUGUGGCAUUCUCUCCCUUAGAAAGAUCUCUGUGGGUGAACUAGAGUGAAUGCCCCAAACCUUGGCAAGAAAUUCCCAUAUUCUCAGAAGGGAAGGCUUUUGUCUGGAUUGUAUUUUACCAUUUUCUCUGGUCUCUUAUAUGAGACUUUUGCCUAAAAUGUCAUUCCCCUUUCCCAGAUUUGUGGAAAAUAUGUUUUUUUUUUUUGCUUUUGAAUUCUUCCUCUGACCAAGACACUGGUCUCUUCAUUUUAAUGCUUUACCUUCUCUUUUGAUGAAGGUUUAUUUCCUUAACCCAGCCAGUCAAACAAUUUUUAGUACCAAAAUCCCAUUUGAAAUUCAGAGGAUGCCAGAGUUCGUGUUGGAGUUGUAUCUGUUGCUAUUUAAUGAAACAGAAUGAA
RNAcentral lists this long non-coding RNA (2318 nucleotides) under Cricetulus griseus (Chinese hamster). RNAcentral's name for it is "lncRNA (ENSCGRG00015040944.1)". Lineage: Eukaryota; Metazoa; Chordata; Mammalia; Rodentia; Cricetidae. The record is from RNAcentral.